Molecule: long non-coding RNA, 429 nt
Organism: Sinocyclocheilus grahami
Lineage: Eukaryota; Metazoa; Chordata; Actinopteri; Cypriniformes; Cyprinidae
Exons: 3
Source: RefSeq, a predicted model, not a curated record
GAUGGUGUCUACGAUCUACAGGAGGCUCUUCACGUUCUUCAUACACGUCAGGAGACUGUGAGAGAACAGCUCGCAAUCGCCAAAUCUAAAGGAGAGGAGACGAUCAGACAUAGUCUACAGGUACAACUGGACUCUCUGUUGGCCAAACAGGUGGAGCUCUUGCGUGACGCUGCUGUCCAAGAGAGACUGAAAUCGUUGGACUGGCGGAUUCCAACUGCGGCACUGAAAUACCUCGCUCCCACUGCUCAACACUGCAACAGCGGCCUCUCACAUCUUUCUGGCGAGAGACCCCUAAACUUGCGUCUGACCGAUGUGCCGCUGGGCAGGCAAUUAGCCAAUGAGCUCAAACGACAUCACAAACAGAACGCAGAGGAACGACAUCAUAAUCAACAAACCUCUGAAGAUAGAAUGACGGCAGCCAUAGGUUAG